This 388-nucleotide unclassified non-coding RNA is filed under the name Basidiomycota sp. RNAcentral describes it as "partial contains small subunit ribosomal RNA and internal transcribed spacer 1". The stretch from base 1 to 47 matches the Rfam family "Eukaryotic small subunit ribosomal RNA", at positions 1785 to 1831 of the family's 1831-position model. The record is from RNAcentral. Lineage: Eukaryota; Fungi; Basidiomycota.
AAAGUCGUAACAAGGUUUCCGUAGGUGAACCUGCGGAAGGAUCAUUAACACAUCCGUUUCCAUUUAUCAACAUUGGCGAACUGUGCAACCUUUCAGAGAGAAGGCCGGAUAGGCAAUGGUUUGAGUCGCUUCGGCGACUGGCCUCCCGGCUACGCGUCCAUGGAAUCCUAGCGAUUUCAUGAGGCCACCCUUCGACUCUGCUCGGUAUACAGCCUCUGACCUGGCUGGCCCAUUUUUCUUUUUUACUUUUAAUGAAUUUCUGUGCUCUUUGUCGAGGGACUGGAUCGAGGGGAGCAAUCCCUUCUCUGGAAUCUUGAAUGACAGUUCUAUUCAAUAGAACUUGUUGUAAACAAAAACACAACUCUUAACAGCGGAUAUCUCGGUUCUC